Paramuricea clavata is the source of this 354-nucleotide non-coding RNA. NCBI's taxonomy places the organism in Eukaryota, Metazoa, Cnidaria, Anthozoa, Malacalcyonacea, Plexauridae. The record is from the annotation of a GenBank genome assembly.
GGGGGAGAGGGGGGCUCCCCUAUGAUUAAUGACCGGUCCCUAACAGAGUAAAAUGAUCUAGUGGGGUUUGUUGGGAAGCAUUGCAGCAUAAUGGGUUAACUCGAACUGUGUGCAGGAAAGGAUACAUUCUCAUUCCCAAAGCCUUUCUUAUGCAUGGUCACGAUAAGGGGGUUCUGGCCAAAUCUAUAACUGGUAGCAGAGAAAUCUGCCAGUCAUAAACCUCAAUAAUAUGCAUGUGCCCAAUCACACACCUCAAUGGAAUGGAUUUGGCCAGAUACAUCUUGUCGUGACUGUGCUAAAGAUAGGCUCUGGGAAUAAGAAUGAAAAUAGUAUUGCAGGUCCGCAGGUUAAUGG